This 253-nucleotide ribosomal RNA is filed under the name uncultured bacterium. Its description in RNAcentral is "partial 16S ribosomal RNA". It matches the Rfam family "Bacterial small subunit ribosomal RNA", at positions 524 to 776 of the family's 1533-position model. The record is from RNAcentral.
GACGGAAGGUGCAAGCGUUGCUCGGAAUCACUGGGCGUAAAGGGUGCGUAGGCGGCUUGGUAAGUUGGGUGUGAAAGCCCCGGGCUCAGCCCGGGAAGGGCACUCGAAACUGCCGAGCUGGAGUGCCGGAGGGGAGAGUGGAAUUCCUGGUGUAGCGGUGGAAUGCGCAGAUAUCAGGAGGAACACCGGUGGCGAAGGCGGGUCUCUGGGCAGUAACUGACGCUGAGGAGCGAAAGCGUGGGGAGCGAACAGG